This 901-nucleotide ribosomal RNA is filed under the name uncultured soil bacterium. RNAcentral describes it as "bacterial SSU rRNA". It matches the Rfam family "Bacterial small subunit ribosomal RNA", at positions 8 to 887 of the family's 1533-position model. The record is from RNAcentral.
AGAGUUUGAUCCUGGCUCAGAAUCAACGCUGGCGGCGUGCCUAACACAUGCAAGUCGAACGCGAAAGCCCCGCAAGGGGCAAGUAGAGUGGCAAACGGGUGAGUAACGCGUGGGUGACCUGCCUUCGAGCGGGGGAUAACGUUCCGAAAGGGACGCUAAUACCGCAUAACAUCCUGCUUUUGAACAAGCGGAGAUCAAAGCUGGGGAUCGCAAGACCUAGCACUCGAAGAGGGGCCCGCGUCCGAUUAGCUAGUUGGUGAGGUAACGGCUCACCAAGGCAACGAUCGGUAGCCGGCCUGAGAGGGCGGACGGCCACACUGGGACUGAGACACGGCCCAGACUCCUACGGGAGGCAGCAGUGGGGAAUUGUCCGCAAUGGGCGCAAGCCUGACGACGCAACGCCGCGUGGAGGAUGAAGAUCUUCGGGUCGUAAACUCCUGUCGAAUGGGACGAAUGGAUCGCGCGUAAACAACGCGUGGUCGUGACGGUACCGUUAGAGGAAACCCCGGCUAACUCCGUGCCAGCAGCCGCGGUAAUACGGGGGGGGUAAGCGUUGUUCGGAAUUACUGGGCGUAAAGGGCUCGUAGGCGGCCAACUAAGUCAGACGUGAAAUCCCUCAGCUUAACUGGGGAACUGCGUCUGAUACUGGAUGGCUUGGAUUCGGGAGAGGGAUGCGGAAUUCCAGGUGUAGCGGUGAAAUGCGUAGAUAUCUGGAGGAACACCGGUGGCGAAGGCGGCAUCCUGGACCGACAUUGACGCUGAGGAGCGAAAGCCAGGGGAGCAAACGGGAUUAGAUACCCCGGUAGUCCUGGCCCUAAACGAUGAAUGCUUGGUGUGGCGGGUAUCGAUCCCUGCCGUGCCGAAGCUAACGCAUUAAGCAUUCCGCCUGGGGAGUACGGUC